RNAcentral lists this ribosomal RNA (926 nucleotides) under uncultured bacterium. RNAcentral describes it as "bacterial SSU rRNA". It matches the Rfam family "Bacterial small subunit ribosomal RNA", at positions 11 to 917 of the family's 1533-position model. The record is from RNAcentral.
GUUUGAUCCUGGCUCAGGAUGAACGCUGGCGGCGUGCCCUAAUACAUGCAAGUCGAGCGAACGGACGAGAAGCUUGCUUCUCUGAUGUUAGCGGCGGACGGGUGAGUAACACGUGGAUAACCUACCUAUAAGACUGGGAUAACUUCGGGAAACCGGAGCUAAUACCGGAUAAUAUUUUGAACCGCAUGGUUCAAAAGUGAAAGACGGUCUUGCUGUCACUUAUAGAUGGAUCCGCGCUGCAUUAGCUAGUUGGUAAGGUAACGGCUUACCAAGGCAACGAUGCAUAGCCGACCUGAGAGGGUGAUCGGCCACACUGGAACUGAGACACGGUCCAGACUCCUACGGGAGGCAGCAGUAGGGAAUCUUCCGCAAUGGGCGAAAGCCUGACGGAGCAACGCCGCGUGAGUGAUGAAGGUCUUCGGAUCGUAAAACUCUGUUAUUAGGGAAGAACAUAUGUGUAAGUAACUGUGCACAUCUUGACGGUACCUAAUCAGAAAGCCACGGCUAACUACGUGCCAGCAGCCGCGGUAAUACGUAGGUGGCAAGCGUUAUCCGGAAUUAUUGGGCGUAAAGCGCGCGUAGGCGGUUUUUUAAGUCUGAUGUGAAAGCCCACGGCUCAACCGUGGAGGGUCAUUGGAAACUGGAAAACUUGAGUGCAGAAGAGGAAAGUGGAAUUCCAUGUGUAGCGGUGAAAUGCGCAGAGAUAUGGAGGAACACCAGUGGCGAAGGCGACUUUCUGGUCUGUAACUGACGCUGAUGUGCGAAAGCGUGGGGAUCAAACAGGAUUAGAUACCCUGGUAGUCCACGCCGUAAACGAUGAGUGCUAAGUGUUAGGGGGUUUCCGCCCCUUAGUGCUGCAGCUAACGCAUUAAGCACUCCGCCUGGGGAGUACGACCGCAAGGUUGAAACUCAAAGGAAUUGACGGC